RNAcentral lists this ribosomal RNA (415 nucleotides) under uncultured bacterium. RNAcentral describes it as "bacterial SSU rRNA". It matches the Rfam family "Bacterial small subunit ribosomal RNA", at positions 355 to 767 of the family's 1533-position model. The record is from RNAcentral.
UGAGGAAUAUUGGUCAAUGGGCGCAAGCCUGAACCAGCCAUCCCGCGUGCAGGAAGACGGCCCUAUGGGUUGUAAACUGCUUUUCCUGGGGGAGAAUUUUUCUGUCGUGACAGGAAUUGACGGUACCCUGGGAAUAAGCAUCGGCUAACUCCGUGCCAGCAGCCGCGGUAUUACGGAGGAUUCGUGCGUUUUCCGGUUUUAUUGGGUUUAAAGGGUGCGUAGGCGGAUUGAUAAGUCAGUGGUGAAAACCUGCAGCUUAACUGUAGACUUGCCGUUGAUACUGUCAGUCUUGAGUGUGGUCAAGGUAGGCGGAAUGUGUAAUGUAGCGGUGAAAUGCUUAGAUAUUACACAGAACACCGAUUGCGAAGGCAGCUUACUGGGCCAUUACUGACGCUGAUGCACGAAAGCGUGGGGA